UGUUUGGAGAGUUUGAUCCUGGCUCAGGACGAACGCUGGCGGCGUGCUUAACACAUGCAAGUCGAACGAUGAGACCUUUCGGGGUUGAUUAGUGGCGAACGGGUGAGUAACACGUGGGCAACCUGCCCCCCGCUUUGGGAUAACCGCUUGAAAGGGCGGCUAAUACUGGAUGCGACCGUGUCCCGCAUGGGGCGUGGUGGAAAGGGGUCCUUUUGGAUCUUGGCGGGGGAUGGGCUCGCGGCCUAUCAGCUUGUUGGUGGGGUGACGGCCCACCAAGGCGGUGACGGGUAGCCGGCCUGAGAGGGCGAUCGGCCACACUGGGACUGAGAUACGGCCCAGACUCCUGCGGGAGGCAGCAGUGGGGAAUAUUGCGCAAUGGGCGGAAGCCUGACGCAGCGACGCCACGUGUGGGAAGGAGCGCCUAGGCGUGUAAACCACUGAGAACGGAAGAGCGCCGCGUAGGGAAAGAGAGAGUUAGACGGU
RNAcentral lists this ribosomal RNA (483 nucleotides) under Cellulomonadaceae bacterium. RNAcentral describes it as "bacterial SSU rRNA". It matches the Rfam family "Bacterial small subunit ribosomal RNA", at positions 1 to 476 of the family's 1533-position model. Lineage: Bacteria; Bacillati; Actinomycetota; Actinomycetes; Micrococcales; Cellulomonadaceae. The record is from RNAcentral.